Molecule: ribosomal RNA, 447 nt
Filed under: uncultured bacterium
Lineage: Bacteria
Description: partial 16S ribosomal RNA
Rfam family: Bacterial small subunit ribosomal RNA
Source: RNAcentral
AGCGAACGCUGGCGGCAGGCCUAACACAUGCAAGUCGAGCGCCCCGCAAGGGGAGCGGCAGACGGGAGAGUAACACGUGGGAACGUACCCUUUGGUUCGGAACAACCCAGGGAAACUUGGGCUAAUACCGAAUAAGCCCUUACGGGGAAAGAUUUAUCGCCGAAGGAUCGGCCCGCGUCUGAUUAGCUAGUUGGUGGGGUAACGGCUCACCAAGGCGACGAUCAGUAGCUGGUCUGAGAGGAUGAUCAGCCUCACUGGGACUGAGACACGGCCCAGACUCCUACGGGAGGCAGCAGUGGGGAAUAUUGGACAAUGGGCGCAAGCCUGAUCCAGCCAUGCCGCGUGGGUGAUGAAGGCCCUAGGGUUGUAAAGCCCUUUCGGCGGGAAAGAUAAUGACGGUACCCGCAGAAGAAGCCCCGGCUAACUUCGUGCCAGCCGCCGCCGUAA